CUCUUUUGCAAACAAUUAACACAAAAUCAAUUAGUAUUUCAGCUAGUCUCUGAAAACCAUGAAGACAGUAACUCACAAUCAUAUCAGUGAAAAACAGAUUGAGUAUAUCAACGUAGUGGUUAGGAAGAUUUGUAAGUUCUAUGAGAUCAGGCUCAAACUAACUCAGGACCAACUUGGAAUGCUAGAGUCCUUUGUGAUCAUUAUUAUUAGGCACUCCCACAAAAGAACCCUUCCUUUAUAGCUUCCAGCUUUACUUACUUUUUGUGGGGCUGACAUAAGUGUACAUGUUAUGUCACAUGUUAAGUUACAUUUUUAAAAAAUCAUUGUUUUUCCUUUUAAAUGACCACAUAGGACUGUGCUUAAGUUAUACUCUCCUGCCACGUGUUUAAGAUCAAGUUGGUCAAAACUGACCUUGUUUCUACUCUUUGUCAGCUGAGAUUCCUCAGAAAUUACCCUUGGAGACAUGUUUCAGCCUCUUGGCUUCUUUUGCUUGCCUCUUCCAGUGGUGCCAUCUGCCAGGAUGGGUCAGAAUCUUGCUGGCCAUACUUGGUUUCCUUUGGAAACAUCAGGGACAUUUCUAUCUCCAGUGACCCUCCUGUUUGCAGAAUGUGUACUGGUUGGCUUCCUGUUCGGCAGGGUCCUCUUGAUCUCCUGGAUUGGCAGAUCAGUUAAUCCACCAGAGUUGCAGGGCCCAGAGAGGGGUCCCAAACUUCUCCAGGUCCUGGCUGACCUUAGAGGGCAAGAGCCAAAAUGUUGGCUGCUUUGUCCUUUGCCCUUUUACUUCCUUGACUUUGGUCUCCAAGUUUUUGGUUUUAAACACCCAGCAGGCCAGUGUUGCCAGUCUUAUAGUGGGAGUAACGGGCUAUAACUUCAAUAUCUAUACUUUUACAGUUAUCUCUUUCAUUUAAUUGGGGUUAGUGUUAGUACUGGAAGUCUGCAUUAUAUACUAUCUGUCCUAUUGGUGAUGAUUUAUUAUCUCAAAUUAACUCAAGUUGUUUUGUUAGAUGCAAAACUUCUGCAAAACACUAACAGGCAACAGUUAUAAAGUUUACAAGGAAAAUACAAAGUGAAAUUAACAGAGCAAAAAAAAAAAGAUCAAUUUGCGAAAUAGCUAGGAACCAAGAAAAAUUAUUUUUAUUUAUUUAUUUUUAUUUUUAAUAUUAAUUUUUUUUAGUUGGACACAAUACCUUUAUUCCAUUCAUUUAUUUUUAUGUGGUACUCAGGAUCGAACCCAAGGCCCUGCGCAUGCUAAGUAAGCACUCUACCGCUGAGCCACAAUCCCAGCCCCAAGAAAAAUGAUUUUUAUAAUCUUCAAAUUUACUUAAUUAUACAUUAUAUCUUCUGUUUAUUUUGAGAUCACAGUAAUAUUUACAACAAUUGAACACAACUUUAAAUAAGCUGAAAACUAAUCUAUUUUGGAGCCAUUCUAACAUGGAGUAAGGUGGGAGGCAGAGCCUUAUCUCAGGUAAGGUGGGGCUCUUGACAAAUAACAAAACACAACAUUAUAUCUGAAACAUAAAUCAAACAAAGGCUAAGAGAGCUUGUAACUUUCUUUUUGUGGCAAAAUACUUCCAUGUUUUACAGUGUCACCCUUAGACAGAUCAGGCUGUCCUUACUACCUUCCAAAAAUACAUUUAAAUUCCUAUUCAAGUGUGAAGAGUAACACAAAAAUGUAUGCAUAACUUAUUGACAACGUUACUGUAUUCAGCUAUAAAACAUCAAAUGACAUGAAUAAAUGCCACCCAAAUUUGUUAUUUCUAUACAAACCUGAGACUAUUGCUACAGAUAAUUUUAGUUUGGAGAACAUCAAAUUGAUAAUGUGCUCUCCUCUAAGCUUUACAUUUAACUAAGUUUAACUUUUUUUUUUAAUGGAAUAUAUUUUUUUAAAUAUUUAUUUUUUAGUUGCAGUUGGACACAAUACCUUUAUUUUAUUUAUUUAUUUUUAUAUGGUGCUGAGGAUCAAACCUAGGGCCUCUCACAUGUACUAGGUGAGCACUCUAUCGCUGAGCCCCAACUCCAACCCCCAACAUUUAACUAAGUUUAACUUUUAAAGUACAGUUUAGAACCCAUAUUGUCCAUAACAAUAAUCGCAGGUCUGCAUGGGUUAGCAGUACUAGCAAAAAAUCAAAGGAUAGCCUUAAAUCUCUUAUACAUUUAGGAAACAGUGUUACUGAUCAGAAACAGAUUUAGUCAAAGCAAAAAGAUAUAAGACAAGUGACAAAUGACAGUGUGGCCCUUCUAUGUUAGAUACAAUGUAUAAAGGAGAGCACUUAUUUGUUACCUUGCCAGUAAACUUCCAAAUGCAAGACUGUACAAAAAAGAAACAGAGAUAACAAGGGAAGAGCCCCAACACCAUGGCCAACAGACAAGAACCUUAAAUUGACCAGCUGAGAUCUUUCCUGAGACACUAUUGAGAAACCAGCCUCUACCUCAGAGCAAAGCCUGUCCAAGGAAGGGGGUGUGACCCUUGUCCUUGGAAAGACCCAAGGAGCACUCCUAGGCACAUACCCACCCUGCUGAGUUGUUUAUCUACAAAUAACAGGAGAGAUCUGCAGCACCAGGUGUCCCUGACUCAGUCAGGCUAGGUGAGGUAUGUGCAACCCUCUAGCAACCACCAAUUAGCAAGAGACAGGGAAAAUACCUGGAAUGCCAGAUGACCCUCCCAGUAGUUUAUGGUGGUGGUAACAUGUUGGGAAACCAUGUAGCUCAGUAUGUACUCCCCUUAUGGCUUAAACCAAUCAGUUCAAACGAAUCCCCCUCUUGUACUAACCAAUCACGCUUAUCCAACUUGUUCCCGCCAGUGAAUGUGCUAAUCAUGUUUUAGAGUUGUUUUAUGAUUCUAUGAUGUAUGUGAAGUCCCUGCCUUCCCCAAAGAGUGUAUAAAACUUCUGCAAACCCUGGGCUCGGAGCCUCUCAGCGUCACCAGUUGCUGUGUGCGCAUGGAGGACCAAGCUAGCUCACAAUAAACACCUUUUUGCUGCUUACAUCGA
This 2990-nucleotide long non-coding RNA is filed under the name Marmota monax (woodchuck). The record is from RNAcentral. Lineage: Eukaryota; Metazoa; Chordata; Mammalia; Rodentia; Sciuridae.